Molecule: ribosomal RNA, 1122 nt
Filed under: uncultured bacterium
Lineage: Bacteria
Description: bacterial SSU rRNA
Rfam family: Bacterial small subunit ribosomal RNA
Source: RNAcentral
AAAGUUUGAUCCUGGCUCAMRGGSGAAUGCUGGCGGCGUGCUUAKCAUAUGCAAGUCGAGCGAGAAAGCACCUUCGGGUGUGAGUACAGCGGCGAACGGGUGAGUAACACGUGGGCAACCUGCCCUGGARACCGGGAUAACGUUCCGAAAGGGACGCUAAUACCGGAUGACGCGCGACCUGCCAAGUGGGUCGCGCCAAAUGGUAGCGUAAGCUUCUGCUCUGGGAUGGGCCCGCGCCGGAUUAGCUUGUUGGUGAGGUAACGGCUCACCAAGGCGACGAUCCGUAGCUGGUCUGAGAGGACGAUCAGCCACACUGGGACUGAGACACGGCCCAGACUCCUACGGGAGGCAGCAGUGGGGAAUCUUGCGCAAUGGGCGAAAGCCUGACGCAGCAACGCCGCGUGAGCGAAGACGGCCUUCGGGUUGUAAAGCUCUGUCAGGAGGGACGAAGCCACUCAGGUGAAUAGCCGAGAGGGUGACGGUACCUCCAGAGGAAGCCCCGGCUAACUACGUGCCAGCAGCCGCGGUAAUACGUAGGGGGCGAGCGUUGUCCGGAAUCAUUGGGCGUAAAGCGCGUGUAGGCGGCCAUCCAAGUCCGAUGUGAAAGCUCGGGGCUCAACCCCGAGUCUGCAUUGGAAACUGGCUGGCUAGAGUCCGGAAGAGGAGACUGGAAUUCCUGGUGUAGCGGUGAAAUGCGCAGAUAUCACGAAGAACACCGGUGGCGAAGGCGGGUCUCUGGGACGGUACUGACGCUGAGACGCGAAAGCGUGGGGAGCAAACAGGAUUAGAUACCCUGGUAGUCCACGCCGUAACGAUGGGCACUAGGUGUGGGAGGUGUCGACUCCUUCCGUGCCGUAGCUAACGCAUUAAGUGCCCGCCUGGGGAGUACGGCCGCAAGGCUAAAACUCAACGUAUUGACGGGGGCCYGCACAGCAGCGAGCAUGUUGUUUAAUUCGACGCAACGCGAGAGCUUACCUAGCUUGACAUGACUUGUACUCUGAACAGAGCCCCUCGCAGAGCAGCUMAGUGGKGCAUGCUGUCGUMGCUCGGUCUGAAUGUGGUUAGUCCGACCGAGCACUUKUCCUWGUUGCAGCGGUUAUGGCCGGGAACUYAKGGAUACUG